AUCCUUUCCCCUCUUCG
RNAcentral lists this small RNA (17 nucleotides) under Arabidopsis thaliana (thale cress). RNAcentral describes it as "ATSL306460". Lineage: Eukaryota; Viridiplantae; Streptophyta; Magnoliopsida; Brassicales; Brassicaceae. The record is from RNAcentral.